Molecule: ribosomal RNA, 434 nt
Filed under: uncultured Clostridium sp.
Lineage: Bacteria; Bacillati; Bacillota; Clostridia; Eubacteriales; Clostridiaceae
Description: partial 16S ribosomal RNA
Rfam family: Bacterial small subunit ribosomal RNA
Source: RNAcentral
ACGGGAGGCAGCAGUGGGGAAUAUUGGACAAUGGGGGGAACCCUGAUCCAGCGACGCCGCGUGAGUGAAGAAGUAUUUCGGUAUGUAAAGCUCUAUCAGCAGGGAAGAUGAUGACGGUACCUGACUAAGAAGCCCCGGCUAACUACGUGCCAGCAGCCGCGGUAAUACGUAGGGAGCGAGCGUUGUCCGGAUUUACUGGGUGUAAAGGGUGCGUAGGCGGGCUUGCAAGUCAGGCGUGAAAUCCCGCGGCUUAACUGCGGGGCUGCGCUUGAAACUGUAAGUCUUGAGUGAAGUAGAGGCAAGCGGAAUUCCUAGUGUAGCGGUGAAAUGCGUAGAUAUUAGGAGGAACACCAGUGGCGAAGGCGGCUUGCUGGGCUUUAACUGACGCUGAGGCACGAAAGUAUGGGGAGCAAACAGGAUUAGAUACCCUGGUA